UACGGGGGGGGCAAGCGUUGUCCGGAAUUAUUGGGCGUAAAGGGCUCGUAGGCGGUUUGUCGCGUCGGGAGUGAAAACACCGGGCUUAACUCGGUGCUUGCUUUCGAUACGGGCAGACUAGAGGCAUGCAGGGGAGAACGGAAUUCCUGGUGUAGCGGUGAAAUGCGCAGAUAUCAGGAGGAACACCGGUGGCGAAGGCGGAUCUCUGGGCCUUACCUGACGCUGAGGAGCGAAAGCAUGGGGAGCAAACAGG
This 253-nucleotide ribosomal RNA is filed under the name uncultured bacterium. RNAcentral describes it as "partial 16S ribosomal RNA". It matches the Rfam family "Bacterial small subunit ribosomal RNA", at positions 524 to 776 of the family's 1533-position model. The record is from RNAcentral.